UGGGGAAUAUUGGGCAAUGGGCGAAAGCCUGACCCAGCAACGCCGCGUGAGUGAAGAAGGCCUUCGGGUUGUAAAGCUCUGUUAUAGGGGACGCAGGAAGUGACGGUACCCUAUAAGGAAGCCCCGGCUAACUACGUGCCAGCAGCCGCGGUAAUACGUAGGGGGCGAGCGUUGUCCGGAAUGACUGGGCGUAAAGGGCGUGUAGGCGGUUCUUUAAGUUUGGAGUGAAAGUCCUGUUUUUAAGGUGGGAAUUGCUUUGAAUACUGGAGAACUUGAGUGCGGAAGAGGUAAGUGGAAUUCCCAGUGUAGCGGUGAAAUGCGUAGAGAUUGGGAGGAACACCAGUGGCGAAGGCGACUUACUGGGCCGUAACUGACGCUGAGGCGCGAAAGCGUGGGGAGCGAACAGG
This 407-nucleotide ribosomal RNA is filed under the name uncultured prokaryote. RNAcentral describes it as "bacterial SSU rRNA". It matches the Rfam family "Bacterial small subunit ribosomal RNA", at positions 355 to 776 of the family's 1533-position model. The record is from RNAcentral. RNAcentral also lists the same sequence under 1 other name.